CCUACGGGGGGCAGCAGUGGGGAAUCUUUCACAAUGGGCGAAAGCCUGAUGCAGCGACGCCGCGUGCGUGAAGAAGUAUUUCGGUAUGUAAAGCUCUAUCAGCAGGGAAGAAAAUGACGGUAACUGAUUAAGAAGCCCCGGCUAACUACGUGCCAGCAGCCGCGGUAAUACGUAGGGGGCAAGCGUUAUCCGGAUUUACUGGGUGUAAAGGGAGCGUAGACGGCAACACAAGUCCGGAGGGAAAUGCCGGGGCUUAACCCCGGGACUGCUUUGGAAACUGUGCAGCUCGAGUGCGGUAGAGGUAAGUGGAAUUCCUAGUGUAGCGGUGAAAUGCGUAGAUAUUAGGAGGAACACCAGUGGCGAAGGCGGCUUGCUGGACUGUAACUGACGUUGAGGCUCGAAAGCGUGGGGAGCAAACAGGAUUAGAUACCCUGGUAGUC
This 440-nucleotide ribosomal RNA is filed under the name uncultured bacterium. RNAcentral's name for it is "partial 16S ribosomal RNA". It matches the Rfam family "Bacterial small subunit ribosomal RNA", at positions 338 to 795 of the family's 1533-position model. The record is from RNAcentral.